RNAcentral lists this long non-coding RNA (1010 nucleotides) under Manacus vitellinus (golden-collared manakin). Its description in RNAcentral is "lncRNA (ENSMVIG00005017998.1)". The record is from RNAcentral. Lineage: Eukaryota; Metazoa; Chordata; Aves; Passeriformes; Pipridae.
AUCUCACCAAAAAUAAUCCUUCUGAUGAUUGCAAGAUUAUUCUGCAUACAACACGCACACACGCACGCACACACACUCACUGACACACUCCCUCAUCUCUUUCUCUCUCUGCUUACAGACACUCACAUGGAGAAAUCAGCAACACGACGCUCAUCUUUUAAAUGGAACAAUUGAGGUAUCCAAAUGAGAGCUCUCACGGAGCCUUCGUCCAUCUCUAAUGCACGACAGAGCCACAGCUGGCAGGGAGAUGCUCUCCAACCCACCUGGAAGUGGCUGUAGAACUAAGUCAUUUCUCUGCUUUUCAAAUGCUGGGUCAACUGUUGCUGUGUGGCAUGGUCUACAGAGAACUGAUGGCACAUUUCUUAUGCCUGAAGCCUGUCAAAGCAGAGCGAGAACUUCAGCCAUAGCCUCACACCAGGCAGUCCCAGUAGCAGUAGGGGCGCUGAAACUGCCAAGGAUAUUAAAUGCUCAGAAGCUGUGAUUGGCAUUUUGAAGGAGCACAGUUUCAAAAAUACUGAAAAGUACUUGCAAAAGUGUCCUAAUCACUUUUAAGCUUAAGUCUCAUCUAAACAAUUUUUACUACUUUUUGAAAAGAAAAAUUUCUUAUAUUAGUGUCUUAGUAAGAUUUCCUAAAAGGUCCCAUUCCAGCACAUGCAUAGUUAUAUUUAACUUCCUGAAUACUUGGUUAAUCUUAAUUCAUAUUGACACUGACUCUUGCAUGUCAAGCCUUAAUGUUUUCAGGAUCCAGAGCUCCUUUUGGAAUUUGUAGAAUAAGUAUAAAUGAAAGAAGAAGGAGAAGGAUGAAAAUUACAGUACUAACUUGCUUAAAGGUAUUUAGUCCAACAUGAACAUUUUUAUCUUGUCACAGUUUCCAAUAUUUCAUUUUUGUUUACAUCUUCAAUCAAAGCUUAAAUCAAAAUAUCAGACUAGUCUUAUCUGUACUGAUUUGUUUUGAAAUGUUUCACUUAGAUAUUUCGUGGUUGAAAAUAAAAAUUACAAAAUUAAAAACA